RNAcentral lists this ribosomal RNA (97 nucleotides) under Rhodococcus sp. 05-2254-3. The record is from RNAcentral. Lineage: Bacteria; Bacillati; Actinomycetota; Actinomycetes; Mycobacteriales; Nocardiaceae.
GUACACGCCCGGUCCCAUUCCGAACCCGGAAGCUAAGCCCUCCAGCGCCGAUGGUACUGCACUCGACAGGGUGUGGGAGAGUAGGACACCGCCGAAC